RNAcentral lists this ribosomal RNA (393 nucleotides) under uncultured bacterium. RNAcentral's name for it is "partial 16S ribosomal RNA". It matches the Rfam family "Bacterial small subunit ribosomal RNA", at positions 523 to 918 of the family's 1533-position model. The record is from RNAcentral.
AUACGGAGGGUGCAAGCGUUAUCCGGAUUUAUUGGGUUUAAAGGGUGCGUAGGCGGUUUGAUAAGUCAGCGGUGAAAUAUUUCAGCUUAACUGGAAGGGUGCCGUUGAUACUGUCGAGCUUGAAUUUAGUUGCUGUGGGUGGAAUGGGUGGUGUAGCGGUGAAAUGCAUAGAUAUCACACAGAAUAUCGAUUGCGAAGGUAGCUCACAAAGCUAAUAUUGACGCUGAUGUACGAAAGUGUGGGGAUCAAACAGGAUUAGAUACCCUGGUAGUCCACACUGUAAACGAUGAUAACUCGCUGUCGGCGAUACAUGGUCGGUGGCCAAGCGAAAGCGAUAAGUUAUCCACCUGGGGAGUACGACCGCAAGGUUGAAACUCAAAUGAAUUGACGGGG